Molecule: RNA transcript, 1629 nt
Organism: Cannabis sativa
Lineage: Eukaryota; Viridiplantae; Streptophyta; Magnoliopsida; Rosales; Cannabaceae
Gene name: GTP-binding protein yptV1-like
Exons: 4
Source: RefSeq, a predicted model, not a curated record
AUUUGGUGAUUUUUUUGGCUUUUAAAUAUUCUUAAGAAUAUAUACUUUCUCUGCGAAGAAAAAACCUAAAAAAAAUUGGCUGGAGUCGUACAACUUGUUUCAGAGUCGCAUACUCGCAUCCAUGGAAAUACGAAGAAUAUAUUCGAAUGGAUUUUCAAUUUUCGGAGCAAGAGAUUGGAUUCUAAACUCAAGAUUCUUUCCCUGAAACUCGAAAGGCUUUAACCGUUUCAACAUGGUUGAACGGGGUUGGAGCUUUACCUAUUUCGGAUGAUGCUACUAAUUCACAAUCUCACUCUCAAGUUGAUUGAAAUUCCAUUCCACUCCCAUUUAUCUAUUUCUUUCUCAGUUAGUGUUGUUUUAAUAAUAAAUAUUUCUCUGUGAUUGAAUUGUACUUAUUGGCUGAAGAAUUUUGUGGGUUUGCAAAGUUUCUCUUAAAUUUCUCUGGUUGAAUGUGGAAUUUUAGUUGUGUUUGCUCUAUCUGAUAUAUUGUGAAUUCAUGAAUAUUACUUUGACAAGAGAAUUUAGAACCUGGUUUUGAGUUCGAUUAAUUAGUUUUCAAUUUCAUGUAUCUUUAAUAGAUAUUCGUUCUGUUUUGCUGUUUCUCCAACAAAAUCUUUAUAAUAUGAAGGUAAUAUGUCUAUGUAUGAAGUUAAUUAAAGUAUAUAUAUCUAUCUAUAUAUUUACAUAUAGAUCUUAGCUCAAAUGAUUCUUCUCACUUAUUCUCUUCCUUUAAAAACUUUUGAUUAAAAUCGCUGUGGCAAUUGCAAGUUGGGAGAGUUUUGUGGGUUCAUCCAUACUUGUCUGUCAUAGAAAUAAAAUUCUCACUUUAUGUAGGACCUAAUUUUUAUUUGAACUUCUGACAGUACUAAAUAUUUUUAUAUAUAUAUAUAAAAAAAAAUAUAAGCAGAGUGAUAAUUAGAGCCCCAUGGUUGCUUCAACUAUUUGAGUUCUUCUCAUGUUUCAUGUUAUUUUGUACAUAGCUUCCAUCUUGCUUAAUUCAAGAAUAGAAUUUUGACAUUGGACAAAAUGACAACAAAGAAAGGAAAGCACUCCCAGAAAAUCAGAACUAUGGAACAGGAUGGGAAGACCAUUAAACUUCAAAUUAUAAUGGGACACUGCUGGCCAAGAACGUUUCAGGACAAUCACCAACAGUUACUACCAUGGGGCUCAUGGCAUUAUUGUUGUCUAUGAUGUCACAGACCAAGAGAGCUUCAAUAAUGUCAAGCAAUGGUUGAUUACUUCGAAUAUGUUUUCAAGUGAAAGAAUGAGGAAGAAAAAACUUAAAGUUUUGUUCUCAUUGAGGUUGCUCUUCUACACAAUAGGCAUUCUGAUAUCCCUUUGGAGGUGGUGGUAAAAGAGCCAGUUAAGGAUGAUGAUAGAGUUGUUCUGCUGGAGGAAGGAAAGCUCCAGACAGCCUCUCCUAGAGCUCGGAUAUUGUCUUCGUCAUCUUCUAUUGUGAGGUGUGUUGAGGGAAUUUGUUUUUGAAAAUCUUGAGUGUGUGAACUGGUUAUCAUACUCUGUUAUUUUAUGUUGUUUGUAAAAAUUUGCAUUAAACAUCACAUUACUUUGGUUUUUCUUUGCUUGUUUUUCACUCCCUCUUAUUCAUACGUAAAGUUGAUUUCCAUCUUA